Molecule: long non-coding RNA, 513 nt
Organism: Fukomys damarensis (Damara mole-rat)
Lineage: Eukaryota; Metazoa; Chordata; Mammalia; Rodentia; Bathyergidae
Exons: 3
Source: RefSeq, a predicted model, not a curated record
UCCUGAGGCAUCCUAUUGACAUAUGACACCCAUAUGCAGAAUUUUAAAAUUUUGGACUAACUCUGCCAGAUCCUCAUCUGACGACAGCUUGUGAUGUGAGUCACACGAGACUUGGAGCCAGGUGUGGUGGCCUCUGUGCUUGCAAUCCCAGCGGAGGGCUGAGCAGGAGGACACCCAGAGUCCGAACCUGGUCAAGUGGAAGCCCACCAAUAAUGCUGAUAAGAUGGCCCCACGGAACGUACCCAAGAACUCCCACCUCUCCCCAAGGGAGACUCCAGCCAGAAGGAAAUGACUCAUCUUUGAAUUUCUAAUCCUCAUUAUGAUGCAAAAUUUGUAACAUGAAAAUACCUGCAUCUAGGCUUGCCCCUCGUUUCAACAUAUUUAAACAGCUGUUCCCUUAACAGAGAGCUCUGUCUUAGUACAAUCUCUGCCAAAUGUUUCUCUAAUUUAAAUGUAAUCAUAAGGAAAUCAGUAUGCUAAAAAAAAACCCUGUAAAAUUCUUUUUCUGUUUAC